RNAcentral lists this long non-coding RNA (2060 nucleotides) under Olea europaea (common olive). RNAcentral describes it as "long non-coding RNA (OEUR_LNC005797)". The record is from RNAcentral. Lineage: Eukaryota; Viridiplantae; Streptophyta; Magnoliopsida; Lamiales; Oleaceae.
GGGAAAAUUACGCACAAACCUACUUUUCAAUUUUUCAUUUCAAUAAUCAAAUCAAAUAAAUUUUAUUUCAAAAAUCAGGUGUCAAUCCACCACACCUCAUUCCACAUCCACUUUCCAUCUCUAUUUUUGUCCCCAACCCUAACCCCCAUUUUCAACCCCACGAAUCCUGCAAAGUCAACCUCACUUCUCACCACCUAUUGGGGAAAUCAGCUCCCAAAUACAAUUUCCUCCUUCGAUUGUCCACACAACACCAUGUGGGUCUAACAAUCUAAAAACCUUGAAUCCAAUCGCCGUCGAUUGGACCCAUAGUUUCGGAGCUACACCCAUGGUGUCAUCAUCGCAUUCCGCCGCUACUCCAACCAUGGGUCUUCAUCAAAUGGACUAAAUUCUAUUUCUAGUUGUACUACAUUUGUGCUUUUCUACGUCUAUGUUGCAUCUAUAAUUCUGUGUUGGUGGUUUAUCGUCCAAUGAUAAAUUUGGAGUGUUUUGUAAGUGAAUACGGUGGUGAUGACAGAGCUUUGACCGUAGAAGUCGUGGUGAAUUUGAGGUGUGUUGAAAGUAGUGGUGGUGGUGGUGGUUUGACUUGUAGAGAUGAUGGUGGAUCUGAAGUGCGAGGGGUGAUGGUUGGGAGUUGGAGGUGGAGGUGGAGGUGAUAGGUUGUAUUGACGAUAGUCAAGCAUGUAAUCUUUUCAAGCUGUGGUAAUGGUGCAGUGGGGGUGGUUUUGAGGAGGUGGUUUUUUUGGAUAUGGUGGCGACUAAUUUUUGUUGGUGGCAGUGGAUAUGGCGGUUGAGGUAAUUUUUGUUGAAUCUGGUGGUGGUGGUCUUGGUCAUGGUGCUACCGUUGUUCGCAAUCCUAUUAGGUUGUAUUGGUGGUGGCGUGGUGUGGUGCGGUGAGGUGAUGCCAAUGGUGAUAGUUAGAAUUUGUUGAAAGUGAUGGUGGUGAGCAUUUGACAUUGUUGGUAGUGGUGGUAGUGACGAUGAAAAUUGAGCAUGAUCAAAUCUAUCUUCAUUGUAGCUGUCUGUGAUCAGAUCUAUAAUGACUGUGACUGUAUGUGACUUGGUUACAUAUAGUCACAAAUUAAACUGAUAUGGUCACAGAUAGUCACACUAAAAACAAAAUAGGUCACAAUUAAUCACAGAUAACAAAGGUCAAUGAAUGUAGUAAAGUUGGAGGUGAAAGUAGUAGUGACUGGUGGUGAAUUGUGGUAUUGGAUUGCGGUGUGUGAAGAUUUGUUUUGGUGACUCUUUUAGAUCAAGUAGGUGUUUAUUGUGGAAGUUGUGACUAAUUCUGUAUUAACUGUGAUCGAUUGUGACUUGAUCACAUAUUGUCACAAUAAAUAUUGAAUUGAUCACAGACAGUCACACUAAAUACUAAUUUGGUCACAAUUAAUUAUAGACAACAUAUGUUAGUGACACACUGACAUGGUCACAGACGGUCUGGUCACAGUUAACACAGGUAUUGUCAGAAACUAUAAAUCUGGUUACGUAUAACACAGUUAAUCACAAAACUAGUCAACUACAAUAUAACACUACUGCAAUCACACAUUACUCAAAACGUUGCUAACACCUCAUCACCACCACCAAAUAAAUUAACUGCAGUGCAACUUCAUUACCUCUAAUACAUUAUCUUUGCCACCAUACAGAUCUAUUUUUUUAACACAACGCCACCUCACCACCACCAUCUAUAAAAAAAAUUUGUGUUUAAAUAUAUAUAUAUAUAAAGAGAGAGAGAGGGAGAGCUUCUGUGGAGAGAAAAGACAGUUUUAAUUUUUACAGUCAUCGAAGCGAUUGUUGAAACUGUCGUUGGAGUGAUUGCCAGAACGAUCGUUGGAGCAAUCGUCGGAGCUGAUGGUCAUCUUCGGUGGAGAGGUAGAGGAAAGGUGGUGUAGUAGGGUGAUAGGAUGUGGUAGGUGAGAUUGCAUGGGUGGAAAUAAUUACUGUACAUUAUAUUAUAUUUUAAUAUUUAAUAAGUUUAUUUACCACCUGAUUUUGGAAAUAUUUUAAUGAGUUUGUUAUUUAUGAAAUGUGAUCUUUGAAACUAGGAGUUAUGUUAAGAUCCC